RNAcentral lists this ribosomal RNA (468 nucleotides) under uncultured bacterium. Its description in RNAcentral is "partial 16S ribosomal RNA". It matches the Rfam family "Bacterial small subunit ribosomal RNA", at positions 28 to 507 of the family's 1533-position model. The record is from RNAcentral.
GACGAACGCUGGCGGCGUGCUUAACACAUGCAAGUCGAACGGAAAGGCCCUAGUUUGGUUGGGUGCUCGAGUGGCGAACGGGUGAGUAACACGUGGGUAACCUGCCCUGGACUUUGGGAUAACUUCAGGAAACUGGGGCUAAUACCGGAUAGGAGCUCCUGCUGCAUGGUGGGGGGUGGAGAGUUUCGGCGGUUGGGGAUGGACUCGGGGCUUAUCAGCUUGUUGGUGGGGUAGGGGCUUACCAAGGCUUUGACGGGUAGCCGGCCUGAGGGGGUGACCGGCAACAUUGGGCUUGGGAUACGGCCCAGCCCCCAGGGGGAGGCAGAAGUGGGGAAUAUUGCACAAUGGGCGGAAGCCGGAGCCAGCAACGCCGCGUGGGGGAUGCCGGCCUUGGGGUUGUAAACCGCUUUCGCCUGGGACGAAGCGUGAGUGACGGUAAUGGGUAAAGAAGCACCGGCUAACUACGUG